This is a small nuclear RNA of Octodon degus (degu), 106 nucleotides long. The record is from Ensembl. Lineage: Eukaryota; Metazoa; Chordata; Mammalia; Rodentia; Octodontidae.
GUGCUUGCUUCGGCAGCACAUAUACUAGACUUGGAACAAGGCAGAGAAGAUCAGCAUGGCCCUGCACAAGGGUGACCUGUGAAUCUGUGACGCCUUCCAUAUUUUA